GAUGAACGCUGGCGACGUGCCUAAUACAUGCAAGUCGAGCGAACGGACGAGAAGCUUGCUUUUCUGAUGUUAGCGGCGGACGGGUGAGUAACACGUGGAUAACCUACCUAUGAGACUGGGAUAACUUCGGGAAACCGGAGCUAAUACCGGAUAAUAUUUUGAACCGCAUGGUUCAAAAGUGAAAGACGGUCUUGCUGUCACUUAUAGAUGGAUCCGCGCUGCAUUAGCUAGUUGGUAAGGUAACGGCUUACCAAGGCAACGAUGCAUAGCCGACCUGAGAGGGUGAUCGGCCACACUGGAACUGAGACACGGUCCAGACUCCUACGGGAGGCAGCAGUAGGGAAUCUUCCGCAAUGGGCGAAAGCCUGACGGAGCAACGCCGCGUGAGUGAUGAAGGUCUUCGGAUCGUAAAACUCUGUUAUUAGGGAAGAACAUAUGUGUAAGUAACUGUGCACAUCUUGACGGUACCUAAUCAGAAAGCCACGGCUAACUACGUGCCAGCAGCCGCGGUAAUACGUAGGUGGCAAGCGUUAUCCGGAAUUAUUGGGCGUAAAGCGCGCGUAGGCGGUUUUUUAGUCUGAUGUGAAAGCCCACGGCUCAACCGUGGAGGGUCAUUGGAAACUGGAAAACUUGAGUGCAGAAGAGGAAAGUGGAAUUCCAUGUGUAGCGGUGAAAUGCGCAGAGAUAUGGAGGAACACCAGUGGCGAAGGCGACUUUCUGGUCUGUAACUGACGCUGAUGUGCGAAAGCGUGGGGAUCAAACAGGAUUAGAUACCCUGGUAGUCCACGCCGUAAACGAUGAGUGCUAAGUGUUAGGGGGUUUCCGCCCCUUAGUGCUGCAGCUAACGCAUUAAGCACUCCGCCUGGGGAGUACGACCGCAAGGUUGAAACUCAAAGGAAUUGACGGGGACCCGCACAAGCGGUGGAGCAUGUGGUUUAAUUCGAAGCAACGCGAAGAACCUUACCAAAUCUUGACAUCCUUUGACAACUCUAGAGAUAGAGCCUUCCCCUUCGGGGGACAAAGUGACAGGUGGUGCAUGGUUGUCGUCAGCUCGUGUCGUGAGAUGUUGGGUUAAGUCCCGCAACGAGCGCAACCCUUAAGCUUAGUUGCCAUCAUUAAGUUGGGCACUCUAAGUUGACUGCCGGUGACAAACCGGAGGAAGGUGGGGAUGACGUCAAAUCAUCAUGCCCCUUAUGAUUUGGGCUACACACGUGCUACAAUGGACAAUACAAAGGGCAGCGAAACCGCGAGGUCAAGCAAAUCCCAUAAAGUUGUUCUCAGUUUGGAUUGUAGUCUGCAACUCGACUACAUGAAGCUGGAAUCGCUAGUAAUCGUAGAUCAGCAUGCUACGGUGAAUACGUUCCCGGGUCU
RNAcentral lists this ribosomal RNA (1371 nucleotides) under uncultured bacterium. RNAcentral's name for it is "bacterial SSU rRNA". It matches the Rfam family "Bacterial small subunit ribosomal RNA", at positions 28 to 1381 of the family's 1533-position model. The record is from RNAcentral.